ACCUGCACCAUUCCUCAAGGCAGUCUCAGGCCAAAGCCUAUCUAAAGCAUCAUAAAUUUCAAACAACUGAGCUAAAUCAAUAAGGUUUUAUAGGACAUCUUAAAGAAAAAGAAAAGGCAUUACUUCACUAAAUGUAGCUGGAGAAAUGCACAGAAGUUAUUUCUGUCCAGGCUCCCUCGCUAUGGAUGGAGGAACCAGACAGUUCUAUUUUCAUUCAUAAGGAGCAUCUCAAAACCUGGGGCAUAUCAUGGGAUGCAAUUGGCCCCAAGGAAGAGGAAACAGGAGAAUGGCUUGGCAGCCCAUGAGAUUCUUUUGGAGAAGAAAUUAUUAAUAACAAGGAAUAUUUUACUGUGGAUCAAAGUGUGUUCCCUCUGUUGUUUCCAUUGGGUCCUCAUGGAUCUGCCCCAUUCUCUUCAGGGCCCGCCUUUCAGUGGGUGUUACCCAAGAGCAAAAGGAGUCUGUGGAGCUGUGAACCGAGGGAAAGUGCCUCCCAUGGCAGCACUUUCUUGCAUCUGGCCCUCCCUGGGUGCCUCAUGGUUUCUCCCAGUAUCCCAGCCUCGCAGAGGUGAGUCUGUUGCUUCCUUGGAAGCGACAUUUUCCUCAGGCCCUGGAGGGCUUCAUUACUGAGCAAUGGUUUCAUUUCUUUUUAUUCUAGAAUAUUUUUCUUCUUCCUCCCUUCUCCCUUCUGUCUCUUCACCAUAAAAUUGUAUUAUGCAGCUGAUUCUUUUGGAAGGAAGAGAGCAACAUUAACAUCAAUUCUGAUUUGGACCUUUCUCCUGAGUGGUUAUGUUCUCAUCUGAAAUAUCUCUUGAGGGCAGAGCCAAAAAGAGGGAGUACGAGGAGAAGACUGGGCAAGGGAGAUGCCAGGAGAGGACCUGGAGGGAAGAGGGCAGAGUCUGAGUCAAGGGACACAGUCUGUGGCCUCCUGCCAGUGCCCUCAUCGCCAACCACCUGACCCCACCCCACUCACAUCCCAAGCCUUUUCCUGAGCAUUAUCCAAGUGAUUAUUUAAAAGGCAGCUUUGUGGGCCCCAACCCUACACCUGCUACAUUUCUGGGGUUGGGGCUCAGGAGUCUGCCUUUCAAUAAGCUCCUGCAGGUAACUCCCAUGCACACUCAAAUUAAAGCCACUAGCUUAAGACUCUGCUCGGAGACCAUCUGACUUCUGGUUACUUUGCAAUUUGGGAGUUUUCACGUGGCAAGUGAAGAUGGCCUUGAUUGGUUGGUUCACAAGGUAUCAGGCACCUUCAAAAAUUAAUAGUACAGAAUGAUGGGCAAUUCUAUCUGUAGGCCAAAAUUGCAGAUAAAAGUAAGGAAACCUGGCCUAAAUGACAGGGAAAGGCAAUAAUCAAUAUAGUAACAUAAAACAAUAAUGCAGCUGGUACAAUCAAGCCAUCCCGUCGGGAGCCGUAGAGUGCAUCAUUAGUGUCCAGUCAUAAUGAAGCCCACAGAAUGCAGCUCACAUUAGCCAGGACAAAGCCUCUUCAACACUGAAUAUUCUGCCACACUGCAGGCACGUUUAUUUUAUUUGAAAGAAGAAUGGUCCUGUUGCCAAGCCAUCAGAUGGUAAAAAGAGAUAUAUUUGAUGGAUAAUAAAAAAGGGUCUGCCACAGCCUCACAAAAUACGUUUCUAAUGGAAAUGUUUCUAGUACGUGGAAUUCAUAGCCCUAGUGUGUAGGGCUGCACAAGAGAUUCCUGCAGACGAGGUAAGCAGGAGCGGGGAGAGCGGUGUGGGGUGAGUCAGGAAUAUAGCCGCAGAGAUUGGGCGGGCGGGCGGGGGGGGGGGUGCGGGGAUCCACAUUAUUUUUAACAAUAACAAACAACAACAAAGAGCCCACUUGACAAACAUCACUCACUCUUUCUCAACCUGUUUCCUUGAUGCAGAUUGACAGCCCUUUUAAUAUGAAAUAAAUCAGGCAGGAGAAGGAGUGUCUGGAAGAACAUACAGAUUGAGGGCUGACUGACACAACGCCUCUGAAAUGCGCUACAUUUGCAUUUGCCUUUGUAACAGCCAACUUGAAAGGAUGUCAGAUGCUUUGAAAGGCUGUGAGGAUGCGAUUUGAACUUGGAGAGUGAAUGUGCGGCGCCUCGUGAUGCCGGAGCCCCACAAUGUGCUGCCAAGAACGGGAGCAGGCAGACCCCGCAAACACAAGUGGCCCUUCCAAUCUCCCUCCCGAUCUUGGGGUAAAAAGACAUUUUAUCUAAUAACUGGUUUCAUACUUAGUUAGGACCAACAAGUCCUCCUGAGUCUGUGGGCUCACACCACAGCAUUAGGGUCAAGUCACUUCUCACCAAGAAAACUGGCUGGUAAUGAGCGACGACACCUUUCAAGGAGGUGUGUGGUCAGCGACCAUCGCUGUCAAGCACCCUCCCACCUCAGUCCAGUCUUCCAGAUACUGAAGUCCCUUUGGUUAGCUGCCUUCUUGGAUUUCCUGGACUGUCUGGUGUUCACAGUGACCCUGCAAAACAAAUGCCAGUCCCCAUCAAUCCUGAGACAACCAAAGUCAGUUUCAACGUCUCUCCUGGCACAGGGAGAAGUAUUUCCACUGUGAGCAAGAAAAUGCUUGAGAGGUGUGGGGUGCAUCUAGAGUGAGCCCGGGAGGAGAAAUCAGAGAACAAGGCAGUAGGCAAGCACAAAAAAAGCAAGCUCUACUGGAAAAGUGUCUUCCUUCUGAAGCCCACACCUAUCCUCUUCAGCACCUUUGCUCCCUUCCACCUGGAGAGCCCGCCCAGGCAACACACCCUCCCGGCACCCCAUCAGCGGUUUUGCUCCUGUUAGCUUGGCUCCUUGAUCAUUCAGCAGUUGUGGUGGAGCACCUAUGAAGUGCUGGUCACUGUCCAAGGUGCUUGAGCUAGAGUGAUACUGAAAUCACAGCUGUCCUCCAGGACUUACGUUCCAGUGAGAGAUAAACAAAAUGCUAUUGCAAACAAGAUAGGUAUAGAUUGUGAGAAAUGCUAUAAAGGAAGAGAGUUGACAUAGUAAGUGGCACUAACCCAGCUAGCCAGGAGGCCUACUUUCCAGGGAGUGAUCAGGGACAGCCUGCUCAGAACAGCAACAUGUGAGCUGACAUCUAAAACAUGAAAAGGAUCCAGCCACAUGACAAAGAGCAGGAAGAGUGGGCCAGGCACAGAAAACAUCAAGUGCAAGGGCACUGAGCAGGGGAAGCCCUUGGAAGGGUGGCAAAUCAGCAAGAGGCUGUGUGGCUGGGAUAUGGGAGGGAGGGAGAAGAGGAGAGAGGUCAGGUGGGAGAGGAAAAUGGGGCAGCUAUUGCAGGGCCUCUGCUGGGCUUUGGAGCCAGUGUGUCUGCCUCCCAAACACCUGUGUGACCUUGGGCAAUAUAACUGACCUCUCCAGUGGUCUCCAACUGGGCCGGUAACACCUGCCUCAUAAUACCUACUCCAUGGGGCUGUUGUGAAGAUUAUAGGAGCUGAGGCUGGUGCAUGCAAACUGCCUUACGCAGUGCCUGGCAGUGUUAGCAUUCAAGACAUGUUAACUGCUACCAUUAUUUUCAAAGAUGGGUUCAUGUGGGGUGGGAUGGGAGUAUUAAAUCAGCUUCUUGGGGCCCUACUGAGCCAGUGUACCUGAGUUCCCCAUGAUGUCAGGCCACCAAAAGCAUUCGAGUGCAAUUAUAAAGAAAUUACUUUCCCAGCAAUUAAUCACCACUAUAAGAUUGCCAAUACAUAUCAUUGCGGCAUUAUGACACAUUGCAUCACGCGAUCAGAAUGUAGAGUAGGAAGGGGCCAUUUGUAGCUGACCUUAUUCAAGUCAAAUCAGCUCAAUCAGUGGGAUUUUGAAAGUCAGUGGGAGUUUUGCCUGAAUAAGGGUCAAGACCAAUUAUCAAAAGGCAAAAUAAAACAAAAAGAUGUUUUUAAAGCUAUUAGAUGUUAUAGUAAUUUUUCACAGUUCAGGGAUACGUUGAGAUAGUGACUCUGUAAUUUGGGCAAUACAGUGCUCAUAAAGGUUUUCUGUCUAGUCCUUUAUUUUAAGAGUCUAUCUGCAUGUUUUUUCUUCUCUUUUUUAGAUGGGGUCUUGCUCUGUCACUCAGACUGGAGUUCAGUGGCACAAACUCAGCUCACUGCAACCUCCACCUUCUAGGCUCAACUGAUCCUCCCACCUCAGCCUCUUGAGUAGUUGGGACUACAGGCCCAUGCUACCAUGUGCAGCUAAUUUUUUGUAUUCUUGGUAGAGAUGGGAUUUUGCCAUGCUGCCCAGGCUGGUUUUGAACUCCUAAGCUCAAGUGAUCCUCCUGCCUUAGCCUCCCAGAGUGCAGGGAUUACAGAGUGGGCCACCAUACCUAGCCCUGGAUCUUCUUUUUAUAGACUCAGAAACAUGGUUAAAAAGUACAAAACGGCUGAGAUACAUAUCGAAAACAGAAGACUUCUCACCAACUACCUAUUACACUAUGCAUUUGGAUUAUCUGUGCCUCUCUGGUAGCGAAAGAGCAGGAAAAUGCUGGAAAACUACAACCUAAUUUGAGCCAUCAGAUUUCUCCUCCAUCUUGCAAGUCCCCCUGUGCUUCAGAAACUGACUGUAAUUUAAUCAUAACAUUGGCUUAAACAAGUUUUAAAAUUAUAAGUGUACCACCAAAAAAAAUAGCUAUUCUGCACAUUUCAGAGCCAACAUGGUCUAUGCAUGGCUUGUCAUUUCUGUAUUGUGUGUGGCUCUGCUCCCUUUAAGUCUCCUUAAAAUAGCAGCCAGGCAUUAGAGAAAAAGCUUCCUAAAACCUGUUGAGGU
Molecule: long non-coding RNA, 4734 nt
Organism: Callithrix jacchus (white-tufted-ear marmoset)
Lineage: Eukaryota; Metazoa; Chordata; Mammalia; Primates; Cebidae
Source: Ensembl